CUCCAGCAGCCCAGAUGGAACCUGGCCUGCCCUGACCCAGGAUGCCCCCCCAGCCCCUGGUUCAGGAAGGUGCUCAUUCUCCAUCAGUCAAACAGAGUCCUAGCUGCCCUCUGCAAUGCCAGCUGUCCCCAAAGGCAGCACACUUGCCCUCUGGACUUCCCACAGGGCAGCUACAUGGAGAGCUGCCCUCAGACAGGACUCAGGAAUUCUCCCUUGAUGGGUCCUUUGGAGCCAAGAAGCAGGGCCAAGGGGGCCUGGCCAGAGAAGCCACAACAGCACUUAAGUCCUUGCUAUGCGCCUGGCACCAGCCUGGACUUACUGUCUGCAAGAGAGCUGAAACACACGCACACAAAGCAGCAGAGCCCCUUGACCUUCUCUAGGGCACAAAGCCCAGAGAUAGGUCAGAGAAGGAGAGGCCAAGACCCAGCGCCACCCCGUCUCCAGGAAUCGGAUCACAGCAGGGACAAAGCCGCUGCAGCCUGGACAAGCCCAGGGUGUGUCCCCAGCCCAAGAAGCAGAGCCUCCGCUGGGCCGGAGAGCAGGGAAGCACAGCUGGCUGACAAGGCCACGGAUACACCUGCAGGGCUCCUCGGCCCAGGCGGCCUCUCCCUGCCCGGGCGGGUGCCAGAUUCCUGGACCAACGGGGCCCUCUGCCGGCCAGCCCGCCGCGCGCUGGCGCUCAGGCCAGAGGGCCGGGAACAGGUGACCGGCGGAGGGCGGCGGCCCGGCUGAGGGAGCGGCCCAGGGCGUCCAGGUCGGGGGCUGGGAUCCGAAGGCCAGCCAGGGCUCCCAGCGGCGGCGCUCGGGGUAGGAGGCUGGAGGGUGGCGGGGAGGCCCGGGGCGCUGCCUCGCACGGCGCCACCCUGCACCUCAGCGCGCCCAAAGCGCAGCGAGGGUCCCUGUAAAGGUCGCAGGACUGGGCAUCCCAGACCUCAGAGAGGGGGAGGGAAGAAGGAAGGGAAAGAAAGGAAGAGAGAGACGCGCCGACAGCCCGGCAAAGCGCUGCUGCAGAGACACGUGAGCACGGGCAAUGACACCGCGGGACGCCCCGGCCGGGCCCUGCGCUCCCGGCCAGGUUCCAUGGACGCGCUCCCGCGGGCCGGGGCCCGGGCCACAGAGUCAGAAGCAAAGCGCAAGAAAAAUAAAUUCCUCCAGCUUGGAGGAUUUCUCUC
Long non-coding RNA from Homo sapiens (human), 1172 nucleotides. RefSeq lists it as uncharacterized. The transcript has 2 exons. NCBI's taxonomy places the organism in Eukaryota, Metazoa, Chordata, Mammalia, Primates, Hominidae. The record is from RefSeq and is a predicted model, not a curated record.